This 437-nucleotide ribosomal RNA is filed under the name uncultured bacterium. RNAcentral's name for it is "bacterial SSU rRNA". It matches the Rfam family "Bacterial small subunit ribosomal RNA", at positions 9 to 413 of the family's 1533-position model. The record is from RNAcentral.
GAGUUUGAUCAUGGCUCAGGACGAACGCUGGCGGCGUGCCUAAUACAUGCAAGUCGAGCGAGCUUGCCUAGAUGAUUUUAGUGCUUGCACUAAAUGAAACUAGAUACAAGCGAGCGGCGGACGGGUGAGUAACACGUGGGUAACCUGCCCAAGAGACUGGGAUAACACCUGGAAACAGAUGCUAAUACCGGAUAACAACACUAGACGCAUGUCUAGAGUUUGAAAGAUGGUUCUGCUAUCACUCUUGGAUGGACCUGCGGUGCAUUAGCUAGUUGGUAAGGUAACGGCUUACCAAGGCAAUGAUGCAUAGCCGAGUUGAGAGACUGAUCGGCCACAUUGGGACUGAGACACGGCCCAAACUCCUACGGGAGGCAGCAGUGGGGAAUAUUGGGCAAUGGGCGCAAGCCUGACCCAGCAACGCCGCGUGAAGGAGAAGG